CUUUUCCUUUCUUUUCUUUUCUUGGCCACAUCUGGGGCAUAUGGAAGUUCCCUGGCUAGAGGUUGAAUCAGAGCUAGUGGAAACUACCAUAUUCUACAGGUGCGGCCCUAAAAAAGACCAAAAUAAUAAUAAUAAUAAUAAUAAAAUAAAUAAAUAAAUGGAGAAAUAGAUAAAUCCAGAAUUGCAUCUUCAGACUUCAAUAUUUAAUCACUCAGCAAUUAACAGAGGAAGACAGAAAAUCCCUAAGGAUAUAGAAGACCUAAAAAAAAAAAAUCAACAAACUCUACCUAAUGACAAGUAUGGAACACUGCAUCCCUUAAUAGUAGAAUACACGAUGUUUUCAAAUAUACAUGAAAUAUUCACAAAGAUCACAAUCUGGGCCAUAAAACAAAUUGUAACACAUUUAAAAUUAUUUAAAUGAUAACAAACUAUGUUUUCUAACCAUAAAGGAAUUAAGCUAGAAAUCAAUAACAAGAAGAAAUUUGGAAAAUGUCCAAAUAUUUGGAAAUAAAGCCACACACUCCUAGACAACCCAUGGGUCAAAGUGGAAAUCCCAGUGGAAAUUAGAAAAUAUUUUGAACUGAAUAAAAAUGAACACAGAGCAUAUCAAAAUUCAUGAGUUGUAGCUAAAGCAGGACUUACAGAGAAAUUUACAGCAUUAAAGACAUUUAUUAGAGAAGGUGAGUGGCUUGGUGGUGGUAAGGUUAGAACAAAAUUCCUGAGGAUUUUUAUGAUAUGAUAAUGCUUAUAAUUUCAGGAUUAAAAUAUAUCUUAUUGAUUUUUUUUAUUUGCUUUUUUUAAGGGCCGCACCCACGGCAUAUGAAAGUUCCCAGGCUAGGGGUCAAAUCGGAGCUCUAGCCGGGCUACACCACAGCCACAGCAAUGCCAGAUCUGAGCCACGUCUGUGACCUACACCAGAGCUCACGGCAAUGCCAGAUCCUUAACCCACUGAGCAAGACCAGGGAUCAAACCCACGUCCCCAUGGAUACUUGUCAGGUUCAUUACCCUGAGCCACAACAGGAACUCCCUCUUUUAUUUUUGAAAUUACUCUUUUUGGUAAACUAUCAGUUAUUUACCCAAAAUGUCAUCUAAUCUCUUUUUUCUUCCUGUGUACAUGCUAGCCAGAUACCUUUCUCGACACUCUGCAGUUGUGUGAUCAAAUAAAGUUUUGCCAGUGAU
RNAcentral lists this long non-coding RNA (1179 nucleotides) under Sus scrofa (pig). RNAcentral's name for it is "lncRNA (ENSSSCG00055019326.1)". Lineage: Eukaryota; Metazoa; Chordata; Mammalia; Artiodactyla; Suidae. The record is from RNAcentral.